Long non-coding RNA from Gossypium raimondii (Peruvian cotton), 625 nucleotides. RefSeq lists it as uncharacterized. The transcript has 2 exons. The record is from RefSeq and is a predicted model, not a curated record. Lineage: Eukaryota; Viridiplantae; Streptophyta; Magnoliopsida; Malvales; Malvaceae.
UUCAAUAAUUGCAUUAUCUUCUAAAUUUUACAGUGUCAAGGUAGCCUUUUAUUCACCUGUUCCCAUUCAUUUUAGUAAUUGCUUAUGAACUUUACAGUGUCUUCUGCUGAUUGGGUUUUCUUCUCAUGCAGGAUCUUAUUCCUCCGCAUCCAUAUUCCCCAGAUGCUACAAAAUAUAACUUUCCUUUGAGCACUAGUCGUUUUGGUGUGUUCCAUGGAUUCUGCCAUUUCUCUAUAGCAUGGGCAUAUAGCAUUGUUGCAUAUUCGUUUGUAAUGUAGGUUUCCCAUUGUAGGAAUAUAGCCAUUGUACACCCUCCAGUUUGUAAUUUUUAUUUUUCCUGGUAGAUCUGUUUGCCAAAGCUCUUUGUGGAAGAAUGUAUUUAUAUCUGUAAUAUUUGUCGUCGUAGUGUUUAGUUUUGAUAUUUCCUUUGUAAGCCAUCUGUAGCCACUCCUCACUGUAUAUUCCCCUGUUUGUUCCCUGUUCCAAAUUCUGAAGUCUUCUUGUGGAUACUUUGCCAACGAAGUACUUAAUAUUGCGUUCGUCUCUUCUCUUGAGACAUCUUCUUUCCAUAUUCUAAGAUUUGGAUCAAUUAAAUCUGCUACUUUCUCAUAGCUGUUAUUUCUGA